GGAAUUUUGGACAAUGGGCGAAAGCCUGAUCCAGCCAUGCCGCGUGAGUGAAGAAGGCCUUCGGGUUGUAAAGCUCUUUCGGCCGGGACGAAAUUGCCUUUGCGAAUAACAAAGGUAGAUGACGGUACCGGAAGAAGAAGCACCGGCUAACUACGUGCCAGCAGCCGCGGUAAUACGUAGGGUGCGAGCGUUAAUCGGAAUUACUGGGCGUAAAGCGUGCGCAGGCGGUUUUGUAAGCCAGAUGUGAAAUCCCCGGGCUUAACCUGGGAACUGCAUUUGGGACUGCAAGGCUGGAGUAUGGCAGAGGGAGGUGGAAUUCCACGUGUAGCAGUGAAAUGCGUAGAGAUGUGGAGGAACACCAAUGGCGAAGGCAGCCUCCUGGGCCAAUACUGACGCUCAUGCACGAAAGCGUGGGGAGCA
Molecule: ribosomal RNA, 420 nt
Filed under: uncultured bacterium
Lineage: Bacteria
Description: bacterial SSU rRNA
Rfam family: Bacterial small subunit ribosomal RNA
Source: RNAcentral